AAUUUGAUGCCUGAUUAAAGGAUGGCUUUGAUGAGACCAAUAAUGUUACUUUAGUAACUCAAAUUA
This 66-nucleotide transfer RNA is filed under the name Eurycercus lamellatus. Its description in RNAcentral is "tRNA-Ile". The record is from RNAcentral. Lineage: Eukaryota; Metazoa; Arthropoda; Branchiopoda; Diplostraca; Eurycercidae.